This 395-nucleotide ribosomal RNA is filed under the name uncultured bacterium. RNAcentral describes it as "SSU rRNA". It matches the Rfam family "Bacterial small subunit ribosomal RNA", at positions 1 to 396 of the family's 1533-position model. The record is from RNAcentral.
AUUCGGCUUAGAGUUUGAUCCUGGCUCAGAUUGAACGCUGGCGGCAGGCCUAACACAUGCAAGUCGAGCGGAUGAAGAGAGCUUGCUCUCUGAUUCAGCGGCGGACGGGUGAGUAAUGCCUAGGAAUGUGCCUAUUAGUGGGGGACAACGUUUCGAAAGGAACGCUAAUACCGCAUACGUCCUACGGGAGAAAGCAGGGGACCUUAGGGCCUUGUGUUAAUAGAUGAGCCUAGGUCGGAUUAGCUAGUUGGUGAGGUAAAGGCUCACCAAGGCGACGAUCCGUAACUGGUCUGAGAGGAUGAUCAGUCACACUGGAACUGAGACACGGUCCAGACUCCUACGGGAGGCAGCAGUGGGGAAUAUUGGACAAUGGGCGAAAGCCUGAUCCAGCCAUG